CAGUAGCCGCGGUAAUACCGAGGGUGCGAGCGUUAAUCGGAUUUACUGGGCGUAAAGCGUGCGUAGGCGGCUUUUUAAGUCGGAUGUGAAAUCCCUGAGCUUAACUUAGGAAUUGCAUUCGAUACUGGGAAGCUAGAGUAUGGGAGAGGAUGGUAGAAUUCCAGGUGUAGCGGUGAAAUGCGUAGAGAUCUGGAGGAAUACCGAUGGCGAAGGCAGCCAUCUGGCCUAAUACUGACGCUGAGGUACGAAAGCAUGGGGAGCAAACAGGAUUAGAUACCCGCGUAGUCCCUGUCUCUUAUAC
Molecule: ribosomal RNA, 301 nt
Filed under: uncultured bacterium
Lineage: Bacteria
Description: partial 16S ribosomal RNA
Rfam family: Bacterial small subunit ribosomal RNA
Source: RNAcentral